UACAGAGGGGGCAAGCGUUGUUCGGAAUUACUGGGCGUAAAGGGUGCGUAGGCGGUUGUUUAAGUUUGGUGUGAAAUCUCCCGGCUCAACUGGGAGGGUGCGCCGAAUACUGAAUGACUAGAGUGCGGGAGAGGAGAGUGGAAUUCCUGGUGUAGCGGUGAAAUGCGCAGAUAUCAGGAGGAACACCAAUGGCGAAGGCAGCACUCUGGGACGGUACUGACGCUGAGGCACGAAAGCGUGGGGAGCAAACAGG
Molecule: ribosomal RNA, 253 nt
Filed under: uncultured bacterium
Lineage: Bacteria
Description: partial 16S ribosomal RNA
Rfam family: Bacterial small subunit ribosomal RNA
Source: RNAcentral